GUAGGUGGCAAGCGUUAUCCGGAAUGAUUGGGCGUAAAGGGUGAGCAGGCGGUUCUUCAAGUCAUGAGUGAAAGGCAGAAGCUUAACUUCUGUUGGCUGAUGAGACUGGAGAACUUGAGUACAGGAGAGGGCGGCGGAACUCCAUGUGUAGCGGUAAAAUGCGUAGAGAUAUGGAGGAACACCAGUGGCGAAGGCGGCCGCCUGGACUGAAACUGACGCUCAGGCACGAAAGCGUGGGGAGCAAAUAGGAUUAGAUACCCUAGUAGUCCACGCCGUAAACGAUGAGGAGCAGGUGUCGCAAUGAAAUGCGGUGCCGAAGCCAACGCAAUGACUCCUCCGCCUGGGGAGUAUGCACGCAAGUGUG
RNAcentral lists this ribosomal RNA (364 nucleotides) under uncultured bacterium. RNAcentral's name for it is "bacterial SSU rRNA". It matches the Rfam family "Bacterial small subunit ribosomal RNA", at positions 527 to 896 of the family's 1533-position model. The record is from RNAcentral.